AUGGGUGGCCUCGUUGUGGUCGCGUCACCUGUCGCCGCGGUCUUCCCCGACCCGGUCAGCCUCCGAUACGACACCCACAGCACCGAGCUCAUCCUCGCCCUCAACAAACUCACAGUCAACAUCUUAGUGCCUACAGUUGAUCCCUCAGCGGUGGCGGUUCUCACCUCCGUGUGGAUUCAGAUCCGCGGCCUCCCGCCCAUCGCCAGGAAGGAGCGCGUCAUCCACAACAUGUCCCGUCUCCUCGGCAAGGUCAUGGAGGUUGACGCGGCCUCUCUUAUUCGUGGGCCUGUUGUGCGUGCCAGAGUCAAGACCCCCGACCCAACCAAGCUCCAAACGACACUCCGCAUCUUCUUCAACGACAUUGGGUAUGACCUUCACAUCUCGUUCGAGGAGGCCCCUUCUGCUGCUCCUUUGGGCCCUACGGAUGGUGGUGGCUCUGACCCCGGUCGUGACAGUGGUGGUGGCGACAAUGCUGACCGCCAUCACCGUUGCAGCCGUAGCAGCUCCCCCAGUUCCGAGGACGAGGUUAAGGACUCGCCGACUCACGAUGGACCUCCCGCCCGUCCCGCGGCUGGUCGGUUUCUGGGGCCGGUCGGGUCUGGACCUGUCGCCCAGACUGAGCCCCUUGAGGAGGGAGAGGACUUGGAGGCCAUUGCGGCUAUGCUCGAGGCGGAGUUGACCAUCCCUUUGGGCUCCUCUCUUGCACUACUCCUAUCCUCCCCGGUGCUGUCCUCUGGUGAUGAGGGCGGGAGUGAUGCGAGCUCCGUGAGGCUGGCUGUCUACCCACCGUCCUCUCCCUAG
RNAcentral lists this ribosomal RNA (801 nucleotides) under Triticum aestivum (bread wheat). RNAcentral describes it as "partial small subunit ribosomal RNA". The record is from RNAcentral. Lineage: Eukaryota; Viridiplantae; Streptophyta; Magnoliopsida; Poales; Poaceae.